This 254-nucleotide ribosomal RNA is filed under the name uncultured bacterium. RNAcentral describes it as "partial 16S ribosomal RNA". It matches the Rfam family "Bacterial small subunit ribosomal RNA", at positions 524 to 776 of the family's 1533-position model. The record is from RNAcentral.
UACGGGGGGAGCAAGCGUUGUUCGGAUUUACUGGGCGUAAAGGGCGCGUAGGCGGCCACCGCAAGUCGACUGUGAAAUCUCCGGGCUUAACCCGGAAAGGUCAGCCGAUACUGCGGGGCUAGAGUGCAGAAGGGGCAACUGGAAUUCUCGGUGUAGCGGUGAAAUGCGUAGAUAUCAGGAAGAACACCCGUGGCGAAGGCGGCUCUCUGGGACGGUACUGACGCUGAGACGCGAAAGCGUGGGGAGCGAACAGG